UACGUAGGGGGCAAGCGUUGUCCGGAAUCAUUGGGCGUAAAGCGCGUGUAGGCGGUUCGGUAAGUCGGCUGUGAAAGUCCAGGGCUCAACCCUGGGAUGCCGGUCGAUACUGCCGGACUAGAGUUCGGAAGAGGCGAGUGGAAUUCCCGGUGUAGCGGUGAAAUGCGCAGAUAUCGGGAGGAACACCAAUGGCGAAGGCAGCUCGCUGGGACGUUACUGACGCUGGGACGCGAAAGCGUGGGGAGCAAACAGG
Molecule: ribosomal RNA, 253 nt
Filed under: uncultured bacterium
Lineage: Bacteria
Description: partial 16S ribosomal RNA
Rfam family: Bacterial small subunit ribosomal RNA
Source: RNAcentral